GGUUUGUUAAGUCAGAUGUGAAAUCCCCGGGCUCAACCUGGGAACUGCAUUUGAAACUGGCAAGCUAGAGUCUCGUAGAGGGGGGUAGAAUUCCAGGUGUAGCGGUGAAAUGCGUAGAGAUCUGGAGGAAUACCGGUGGCGAAGGCGGCCCCCUGGACGAAGACUGACGCUCAGGUGCGAAAGCGUGGGGAGCAAACAGGAUUAGAUACCCUGGUAGUCCACGCUGUAAACGAUGUCGAUUUGGAGGUUGUGCCCUUGAGGCGUGGCUUCCGGAGCUAACGCGUUAAAUCGACCGCCUGGGGAGUACGGCCGCAAGGUUAAAACUCAAAUGAAUUGACGGGGGCCCGCACAAGCGGUGGAGCAUGUGGUUUAAUUCGAUGCAACGCGAAGAACCUUACCUACUCUUGACAUCCAGAGAACUUAGCAGAGAUGCUUUGGUGCCUUAGGGGAACUCUGAGACAGGUGCUGCAUGGCUGUCGUCAGCUCGUGUUGUGAAAUGUUGGGUUAAGGUCCCGCAACGAGCGCAACCCUUAUCCUUUGUUGCCAGCGGUUCGGCCGGGGAACUCAAAGGAGACUGCCAGUGAUAAACU
This 590-nucleotide ribosomal RNA is filed under the name Serratia marcescens. RNAcentral's name for it is "bacterial SSU rRNA". It matches the Rfam family "Bacterial small subunit ribosomal RNA", at positions 577 to 1164 of the family's 1533-position model. The record is from RNAcentral. Lineage: Bacteria; Pseudomonadati; Pseudomonadota; Gammaproteobacteria; Enterobacterales; Yersiniaceae.